Musa acuminata AAA Group (dessert banana) is the source of this 3828-nucleotide RNA transcript. RefSeq lists it as uncharacterized. The record is from RefSeq and is a predicted model, not a curated record. The transcript is spliced from 5 exons. Lineage: Eukaryota; Viridiplantae; Streptophyta; Magnoliopsida; Zingiberales; Musaceae.
ACGAAGCGCUCGAGGCCUCUCGCUUCUUCCUCUGGAUCUCGAUCUAUUUCGCCCGACGAAGAAGUCCCUCAUUGUCUCUAUCUUUGGUUGGAUCGAUCACCGUUGACUGGAGGAGACAUGGCGGAGCAACUCACCGAUGAGCAGAUCUCGGAGUUCAAGGAGGCCUUCACCUUGUUCGACAAGGAUGGCGAUGCAGGUGUGCCCUUGAAACAAUGAAGAUGUCCUGUUGCUUGUCUCCAUGCCCAUAUACUAUCAAAUACAAGCAAUUCUUAUCUCAGAUCAUGGCUCCUGAGUUCUAAGACAUACUCAGUAAAACAAGGCACCUUGAAUUACAAGCUCAGGUCUCACUAUCCUCUGUAUGACUCUGUGAUGCUUCAGAAGACUCUCUGACCACCACCACAUUAUGAGAGCACCCAAAUUGUUUAUCUGUUCAUCCUUGGAUUGCCUCAGGUUUCUCCUAGCAUAGCAUGCAACAUGAAGCUCUGCACUAAGCCUUUGAAUGUAUGCGAGGUGCAGUCAUGUCUUUAGGUGCUCGGAGGUGUUCUAAGACUGGCAGGAUGUCCAUCAUGUUAGGCCUGUUCUUGGGAUCUACAUGGAGGCACUGCAAGGCAAGAGCAGCAAUUGUCUGGGCUUCCUUUUUCGAGUAUCGACCCUCCAGUCUUGUGUCCAUGAUCCUCAACAGCUUCCUUUUGUCGUUUAGAAAUGGCUUUGCCCAGUCUACCAGAGCCUCUUCUGUGGAUCCCCUAUCUUCAUCCACUGCUCGCCUUCCUGAUAACAGUUCUAACAACACGACUCCCAGGCUGUAUAUGUCACUCUUCACACUCAAGUGACCUGCCAUAUAAAUAUUUUACAGGAUCUGAUGGCAGAGUUCAAGAAGGUGGCAAGAACUGCUUAUCGUCAAAGGUCACAUGUCCGUUUAAGAUUGCAGUCCUUUUGGGUACAUGGAAAAGGAGAAGAUAAUGUCACAAGGAAUUCCAGACAUUACAAUAUAUAAGGUGAUACAGGAGCUGAAAAGUGUUGCAACAGGUAAAGCAAUUUUCUUGCUGAAGAACUUGAACAAGAUAAAUGGAUCACAAAUGGUCUAUUAGGAAAUUUCAUAUCCCAGAUUAUCAUCAGAAGCAUGCUUAUGAAUCUAAUGUUGCAUGCCUCAUCAAUCACAUCCUUGUGUUUCUAUAAUUUAGUAACCUAGUGACAGAAUUAGCUCGUGUCCUAAAAAUCAUAGUGCGUUAUUGUAUGCAUUCAAUCAUCUCCAAGGAACAUGAAAGCCAUAUCAAACAGAUGAAUAGAGAAAAUAACUAAUGACAAGACAUCGUAAUUUCUUCCCUCAGUAUGUUUUGGAAAUUUUCUUUUGAGCUUAGUCACCUGAAUUUGUUCUUGAUCUAAGAAUAAUCUCACACUUUACUAUCCCAUAUCUAGGCCCAGAGAAGCAGGCAGGUUGGGGAGUGCUUCGAACAUGGGCUUCACACCUGCUGUACCUGGAAGCAUUGCUACCCUGCGCAACUUCUCCCAGUAUAUAAGAUUACAUGUAACUCUAUAUCAGGUCUGCCCACAAUCGUAAGCAUCAUCUACCACUCUCCCCCUCCCACCUUUGUCGCCUCUAUUUCAACUUUUUCUUCUUGCAGUUUUCAUUUCAUAACUGAUGAAAAGAUUGCAGAAGAAGGAGAGGCAAACAAGCAAACUGAAAGCAAGCAGGGAGCAAAAAAAGCAGCAGGCAAGGAGAACACAUAUCUAAAGAAGCAUUCCUCACUUGAAACACUAGGAGAAGAGGCGUUUGCGCAUUUAGCAGAACCCCCGCAGAAAUUCCCCAUGAAAGAACAGCCACCAAGCCCUCGUCAGCCGCACUGAUCAUAGCUAACCACAUGCGUAUAAACAAAGGUGGGAAGGAUAAGGAUGAAGAAUAUCGUCUCCCACGGCAGAGCUUGGUCACGCGUCUGAUUGAGACAAUCCGACAUUUCCAUUCGCUUGACCGGUUCAAGGCAGCCACGUGGUGAUUUAUGAGUUUGGCAUAUUGACAUGCGUGCAAAAGGUUAAGCUUCAGGUCAACGACUUUGUCGGAUCUCAGCCGCCGGAAUGGAGUACAUAACAAAGGUUGUGCUAUUAAUUUCAUAUAAUAGUUGGUGGAUUUGAUCUUACGCUGGAAAAGAUUGCGACUAGACGAUAUCUUCUUCUUGUGUGACUGUAAGGUCCCCUCCAAAAAAAAAGUCUAAGAAAAGGUGAGAAAAUGAGAAAGGACUAAAGCUCAAAUUUCUGCCUUGGUGGGCCCGAUUAAAAGUUGGGAGUCACUGGUUCUCGGUCAUCAUGAAAUCAUUGGGAUGUCAUAUGCCACAUUUUAGAUGAACUUGUUCUCCAAGGGGACAAUUUUUAGAGGUUUGAAGUCCAUUCUUCCAAGCUAUGCGCAUAUGCCUCGUUUGAAGCAUUGAUAUCAGUCUUUGGACUUAAAUAGCAUUAUGAAUUGUUAUUUAGGAAGUGAAUAAAAUGUUAUUGAUUUCAUCACAAAGCCAAAAAAAUCUUAGAGAGACUUGGAAAGGGUAGAUCAUGUGUUAUUUUUCCUUGCUACUAAAAAGGAGUUCCUUGUGCUUUACUUGCAGCUUAGAAAAGGUGGAUUUGCGGCAGAUGAACCAUCUAAGAUCCUGGUAUGCUAUUUCUUCGUUGCCUUUGACUCCUAACAAAAGAUUAUUGUUAGAAAAGGUGGAUUUGCGGCAGAUGAACCAUCUAAGAUCCUGUACUUCAAACAGCUGAGAGAUCAUAGCCACUAGCACAACAUUUCACGUCAGAUUCUCCGAGUCAGCCCCACGCGAUAAAGUCAAUUCUUGUCUUUGCCUCGUUAUGAAGGCAAUUAUAUGCAGAGAAGGAAAACAAAAGAUGCCACCGACAAAUAUUAUUCAACGCAUUGUACGACUCUGCCAGCAUUUUCUAAUUAAUGGCGGAAUUAGGCGCAUUGCUUGCUAUAGAAGACAAAGGUUGAGACUGAGACUGCACCAAAGGGAAUCUAAGAGACAGCUUUUUUCCUCAUGCUUGUCCAUGAUGAUUGCUACUGAAACCUAAACUUCCCGCACCUCGAGUUCUUCAUGGAUCGCAUGCCAGGUCAGUAUCUCAGUGAAUUAGUUCUCCUAAGUUAAAUUUACUUCUGCUCAGCAGUGAAACAAAGGAGUUGCUUCCACGGAAGGAAACAGAGAUAGCAUGAGAACUGAGAGGAGUUGGAUGAUCCAAGGCCUGAGCACCAGAGAAAUCAUUGGGCCGCCCGAUGAGUGAGCUGAUACAUGCGUACAAUCAUAUGCCAAGUAAACAAGACAAAUUAGCAUCACAUAAGAGAGGUCCUUCUGUCUUUACUCGAACCGUCGUUGCCAUGUGUGUGCAUUUCUCAUAUGUUUAGGAACUCCUGAGCUACUUAACCUCGUGAACAGCACUCACUAUAUAUCACCAGUCUUGUAGACAUGGCGACUUCGAUAUCCAUGGUGCUUUCUUUUACCCUAUGCUUGCUCCUCCUAUAUCAUGCCUUUGGCUCCCAACUUGGCUUCGAACAAAGAGCAGGGCAACCGUUCGGAAGCCGCAGUCUUCGCUGAAGCCCAGUCAACAAAGUCGGCGACGGUUCGAGUCAACACAGAAGAGAGCUCUCUACCACACACCCGGUUGAGGUCGUCGCUCCUAAUUACCCUCCUAAUGGCAAUUCUAACUCGGCGUUUACUCCUCGACAACGUUCAGGAAAGACGAAGGAGAAGCCAAGCGUCUCAACUCCGGCGGAACCGCCGGCACCUCCGCCUCCUCCAGUCGAAGACGGCGGCAAGCGGACAGGUCGCCGCCUUUUAAUGCCAACUGAUAGACAUCAAA